This 655-nucleotide ribosomal RNA is filed under the name uncultured bacterium. RNAcentral describes it as "bacterial SSU rRNA". It matches the Rfam family "Bacterial small subunit ribosomal RNA", at positions 101 to 743 of the family's 1533-position model. The record is from RNAcentral.
AACGGGUGAGUAACACGUGGGCAACCUGCCCAAAAGAGCCCGAUAACACUUGGAAACAGGUGCUAAUACCGCAUAACCAUAGUUACCGCAUGGUAACUAUGUAAAAGGUGGCUAUGCUACCGCUUUUGGAUGGGCCCGCGGCGCAUUAGCUAGUUGGUGGGGUAAAGGCUUACCAAGGCAAUGAUGCGUAGCCGAACUGAGAGGUUGAUCGGCCACAUUGGGACUGAGACACGGCCCAAACUCCUACGGGAGGCAGCAGUAGGGAAUCUUCCACAAUGGGCGAAAGCCUGAUGGAGCAACGCCGCGUGGGUGAAGAAGGUCUUCGGAUCGUAAAACCCUGUUGUUAGAGAAGAAAGUGCGUGAGAGUAACUGUUCACGUUUCGACGGUAUCUAACCAGAAAGCCGCGGCUAACUACGUGCCAGCAGCCGCGGUAAUACGUAGGUGGCAAGCGUUAUCCGGAUUUAUUGGGCGUAAAGGGAACGCAGGCGGUCUUUUAAGUCUGAUGUGAAAGCCUUCGGCUUAACCGGAGUAGUGCAUUGGAAACUGGGAGACUUGAGUGCAGAAGAGGAGAGUGGAACUCCAUGUGUAGCGGUGAAAUGCGUAGAUAUAUGGAAGAACACCAGUGGCGAAAGCGGCUCUCUGGUCUGUAACUGA